Molecule: long non-coding RNA, 219 nt
Filed under: Lathyrus oleraceus (garden pea)
Lineage: Eukaryota; Viridiplantae; Streptophyta; Magnoliopsida; Fabales; Fabaceae
Description: Pisum sativum (pea) long non-coding RNA (PSAT_LNC007939)
Source: RNAcentral
UUGAACCAUUUACUGUAAACGGGAAGCGUCUAAAACAUUAUCAUUAUGCCGAGAACAAUGAAGAUUCACAAGUCCUGCACUUAGACGUAAUGCCUCCAGAAUUUAUUGAUUAUAUUUGAUAGUUUCUAUGUCGAGCUUGCGACAUUAAACAAAGCGCUUCGUGGGAGACAACCCACAAAUAUUUUUUUAUUUUUAUUUCUUCUUUGAUUAUUCUUUUAA